This 132-nucleotide small nucleolar RNA is filed under the name Helianthus annuus (common sunflower). Its description in RNAcentral is "Small nucleolar RNA Z247". It matches the Rfam family "Small nucleolar RNA Z247". Rfam says of the family: Z247 is a member of the C/D class of snoRNA which contain the C (UGAUGA) and D (CUGA) box motifs. Lineage: Eukaryota; Viridiplantae; Streptophyta; Magnoliopsida; Asterales; Asteraceae. The record is from RNAcentral.
CCAGUCGAUGAUGAUGACCUAAUUGUUCACAUCAUCACUCAUCUGGGUGAUGAUUACAAACAGGUUGUAGCAGCUGUGAAAAUGAGAGAUACUUCCAUUAGUUCUCUGACUUGUUUGAGAAGCUUGUUGACC